This 253-nucleotide ribosomal RNA is filed under the name uncultured bacterium. Its description in RNAcentral is "partial 16S ribosomal RNA". It matches the Rfam family "Bacterial small subunit ribosomal RNA", at positions 524 to 776 of the family's 1533-position model. The record is from RNAcentral.
UACAGAGGUCCCGAGCGUUGUUCGGAUUCAUUGGGCGUAAAGGGUGCGUAGGCGGUCUUCUAAGUUUGAUGUGAAAUCCCGGGGCUCAACCCUGGAAUUGCAUUGAAUACUGGAGGACUAGAGUACCGGAGAGGAAACUGGAAUUUACGGUGUAGCAGUGAAAUGCGUAGAGAUCGUAAGGAAGACCAGUGGCGAAGGCAGCCUCCUGGGCCAGUACUGACGCUCAUGCACGAAAGCGUGGGGAGCAAACAGG